CCAAAGGCUCUUUUCAGAGCCACCCACAACUUCAAUUAGAAGUGCU
This is a non-coding RNA of Myotis davidii, 46 nucleotides long. The record is from Rfam. NCBI's taxonomy places the organism in Eukaryota, Metazoa, Chordata, Mammalia, Chiroptera, Vespertilionidae.